GACGAACGCUGGCGGCGUGCUUAACACAUGCAAGUCGAACGGAAAGGCCCUGCUUGCCGGGUACUCGAGUGGCGAACGGGUGAGUAACACGUGGGUGAUCUGCCCUACACUUCGGGAUAAGCCUGGGAAACUGGGUCUAAUACCGGAUAGGAGCCAUUUUUAGUGUGAUGGUUGGAAAGUUUUUUCGGUGUAGGAUGAGCUCGCGGCCUAUCAGCUUGUUGGUGGGGUAAUGGCCUACCAAGGCGGCGACGGGUAGCCGGCCUGAGAGGGUGGACGGCCACAUUGGGACUGAGAUACGGCCCAGACUCCUACGGGAGGCAGCAGUGGGGAAUAUUGCACAAUGGGCGCAAGCCUGAUGCAGCGACGCCGCGUGGGGGAUGACGGCCUUCGGGUUGUAAACGCCUUUCGCUAGGGACGAAGCUUUUUGUGACGGUACCUAGAUAAGAAGCACCGGCUAACUACGUG
This 465-nucleotide ribosomal RNA is filed under the name uncultured bacterium. RNAcentral's name for it is "partial 16S ribosomal RNA". It matches the Rfam family "Bacterial small subunit ribosomal RNA", at positions 28 to 507 of the family's 1533-position model. The record is from RNAcentral.